GAGCGCAAUGUCUGAAGUUGCAGCGAGGUGCCUGCGAGUGCUUGCAGGACACCAUCGUGGAUAUCUCUUCCAAUCUUGACGCGCUCUUCAAAGGCGGCUGCAUCGCUAAGGCGGCGCAGCAAUAUCGUUU
This 130-nucleotide small RNA is filed under the name Sinorhizobium meliloti 2011. RNAcentral describes it as "putative ncRNA". Lineage: Bacteria; Pseudomonadati; Pseudomonadota; Alphaproteobacteria; Hyphomicrobiales; Rhizobiaceae. The record is from RNAcentral.